AGUAUAUUGUAAACAUAACUUUAUAUGCACUAAGAAACCAAAAUAUUCAUUUGACCCACUUUAUUUUGAUAUUCACUUUAUUGCAGUGGUCUGCAACCAAACCUUCAAUAUCUCCAAGUGGUGCCUGGAAUCAAUCAUAAAUAAAUGAUCUAAGUAGACUGAGUUAUUCUGAUGCGAGGGAGAAGUAAACAGGCAAAUGGCCAAAUUGGAAGAUUGGAAGAUGGAAUGUGAGUUUACAUUCGCAGUUCAUGGAUUCCAGACAACUGGCAUAGAUGGGCAUAUACAGGUGAGGUUCCUGGAAGAUUGGGCUUUCAUUGAACCAGUACAACUUCUGACCCUAAAGGAACUACACCAGCUUCAACCAAGGAUAACAGGACGGAGAUGCUAAAGAAUUGACAUCUCCCUAUACUGGAAGCAAACCAUCUGCUCACUAGCAGUCCAAAAAAGUACUCAAAAAGAAGCAAUGGUGUGUAUUAUGGUAAGAGUUUCAAGAAGGUAUAAACAAGACUGUCCUGAGAAACUGUUGGUUUCCUGUCCUGAACGUGAAGGUCUUCCCAUUUUUGACCAUAUGCUUAAUGAUUAGGUGAAAUGGGUUAAAAAACAAAUAAAUAAAAGGGAAAAGAACUAAUAAAUGUUAUC
This 639-nucleotide long non-coding RNA is filed under the name Vulpes vulpes (red fox). RNAcentral's name for it is "lncRNA (ENSVVUG00000028333.1)". Lineage: Eukaryota; Metazoa; Chordata; Mammalia; Carnivora; Canidae. The record is from RNAcentral.